UUCGGUUUUUGAUCUGUUUAUUCGAACUGACUUCCUUUAGUAUUCAGUGGAGCUGAUUAUGUGACUUAUAUGGUCAAGUUGUGUUUUGUUUGUUUUUCUUUUGUGCUUUAAUUCUCUUGAUUGGUUGUGUUGAUGAUUCUAUUUCAUUCUCAAGUGACAAGUUACUGACCUGCCUUCUUUGUCGUGACAGGGCCUGAGCACCGGGGCAGAGAAUUUCUUUUAGGUGGUGGUAUCUUCCUCACAGUGUGCAGUGGUCACCUCCCAGAGUGUGAGUGUGCCCGUGUGUCUACACAGUGAAGUGCAGUGAGUCACCAGCAAGUGGUGUGGUCUGUCUUCCCUAGUUUUGGUCUCUUGGUGGACACCAGUUUUCAUUGAGACUCUGACAAACAAGAAAACAAGCUCUGGUAACCAAAAUAAGAUGAAAUAUUCUUUAGAAUUUGGCACAUCUAAAACAAAAACUUGAAUGUUGUUCAUGUGCCAACUAAUCAUUUUAUUUCAUAGGAAUGAUUAGGUAGCUGUCACGGUGUGGUUUAGCGUGAAGGAGCACUGGAUGAGAAUAUAAGGUUAACGAGUUUAAUCAUACGCAUAUACAGAAGUACCUCGGGCAGGUAGACAGACAGGUAGAUGAUCUGUGGGAUCCAGAGCCCAGCCCUGAUGAUCCAAGCUGGAGCUGAUGGAGGGAGGAGCCGUGGAGGAACGGCCAUCGACUCCAUGAGGCCAAGCGACGGCGGAGGAGCAGGUGGUGAGGUGGUGAGACUGAGGUCAUCCAGAGGUGAGGGCUCCCUCUGCUGGCUUGGUCUAACAGACAUGAUUUUGACAUGGUGAAAAUGGUGUUGUUUUACACUACCUUUAAGAAAUUAUAUCUAAAGCAUUCUAUAGACCCUAAAUAAUCAACUAGAGUAAAAACACGUUUUUCGUGUAUACUUUUAGCAAAAAGAUUUACAGGUAAAAGGCUUUUAUGAAGUGUAUUACCAAAUGAAACUUACGGAGUCCCUUUUGUGUAAAAUUCUUGCUACACCAAGUCGGUCAAAUCAAGUCACCUUUAUUAAUAUAGCACUUUUAACAGAACAGGAGUAGCUUUACAGAAGUACAGCAGUGUGUCGGUGAUGUAAACACUCACUUUUCAGUUAAAGGCUGUUUAUUGAAUUCAGGGCUUUUUUCCAGCAUGAAUUAACAUGUGCUUCGUAAGGUUUGAUUUAUGUGCAAAACACUUUCCACACUGAGAGCAGAUGAAAGACUUCAUUAAUUAAUACAAAAGUUUCUGUGACGUAACUUUUAAAAUUGCAUCAAAAUGAUCCAAAUUUGACAAUUCUACUGUCUUCUGUUACAUCGAAGGUUUUUUCACCUUUCGUUAGUAAGUUAAUGAAAAUGUAGUGUUUUUAUUCAUUUCAGGUUUGAUGGAAGAUAAUGGGGAGAAAGAAAAAUUGAGAGAAUUUAAGGAAAAUAAAUCUCGUCAAAAGUGGAGAAAAACCCAAACAGAACGAUUUAAAGAAAAGAAGGGCCAAGAAAUAUUUGACCUGCACUUAAUGUGGGAAGAGUUUGAUGAACAAACACCACAUUGAGCUUCUCAGUUCAGACUGGAGAGAAAGCGUUCACUUGUGAUCAUUGCGGGAAGAUUUUCUCACUAUCCUCAACCUCAGAUUGGAAAUAAUAUUUCAUGCGUGAUGCCGGUGAUGAUGCUUCCUAUGUCCGUUUUCGGGGAACCAGAGGUCAAUUAUUUCAGUCAAUACCUCAGGCUUGACACCGAAAUCUGUGUUCUGAUUGGGUUCUAGUACAUACCGGUUACUUUUCACGUUUCAAUACCCGACCCUACCACACGAAGGGAAGUUCGUUCUUGUGCUGAGAGCGUUGUUUUGAAUUUGUUAACCCUUGUGCACCCCUCAUCUGAGAAUCACACUUAUGGUCUUUGUAGUACCUUUGUUGGAGACACUUUUUUGCUAUGAAUGGACUACAAAGCAUUAUUCGCCUUGGGUAUUAUUGGGAAACAAACAUGCUGGAAUGAGAGUGGAGAGGUGAUCGCCGACUGCUGCUUGUUUAAGAUGGUGAUACUGUCCUCAGAACUCAAGAUUGCUCAAGAAGGGUUAAUAUGUGUGUGUAGAAAAUAAUUAAAAUUUCUAUGUGUUUUACUUUGGCUAGGUGUAGGAUACAAUACUGAUGAUUGUAUUUUUAAUUACACUACAUUUGGUUACACUUUAUUUUGACAGUCCACUUUAGAUAUUCUACUUACCAUAAGUAACUUUGUAUCUACAUGUCAACUAAUCCUGGUUAAGUUGACGUACUUGUCAAUAUGUCAGUAUGUUGUAUGUCUAUCCAAAUAAACUGUUUGUAUAUACAUGUCUGUAUGUUGCGGCCUGACCUUUCAUCACUUGCCAUCUUUAACAAAAUGUAUUCUUUCUUCAAGAAACAGGACUAUCGUCUGACAGAAGGUAAGCGCAAACAAUGGCUACCUAAAAGCGUGUUUUGAUCUGGCUGUCUUGUCAUCAGAAAAGCCCAAAAAAGGAAUAAAACCUGGCAGUGAACACGUUCCUAGAUUUCAUGAAGAGAACCGUAUGGGCCGUCAAUCCUCUAAAGUUUUAGGCGCUGGACACACCUUCAUUCCAUCACUCGUGUCUUCAAAGUAUUACCGUGAUGCUACUUUCUUCCUGUAACUUUACAGUGUUUUUUUUCAUGCCUUUUUUUGCACAAUUGAUUUCAGCAUCUGACGUGUUGUUUUAUGGGUCAAAAUUAAACACGCCCUUGAUGUAACCAA
Long non-coding RNA from Puntigrus tetrazona (Sumatra barb), 2749 nucleotides. RefSeq lists it as uncharacterized. The record is from RefSeq and is a predicted model, not a curated record. The transcript is spliced from 3 exons. NCBI's taxonomy places the organism in Eukaryota, Metazoa, Chordata, Actinopteri, Cypriniformes, Cyprinidae.